GACGAACGCUGGCGGCGUGCUUAACACAUGCAAGUCGAACGGAAAGGCCCUGCUUUUGUGGGGUGCUCGAGUGGCGAACGGGUGAGUAACACGUGAGUAACCUGCCCUUGACUUUGGGAUACUUCAGGAAACUGGGGCUAAUACCGGAUAGGAGCUCCUGCUGCAUGGUGGGGGUUGGAAAGUUUCGGCGGUUGGGGAUGGACUCGCGGCUUAUCAGCUUGUUGGUGGGGUAGUGGCUUACCAAGGCUUUGACGGGUAGCCGGCCUGAGAGGGUGACCGGCCACAUUGGGACUGAGAUACGGCCCAGACUCCUACGGGAGGCAGCAGUGGGGAAUAUUGCACAAUGGGCGGAAGCCUGAUGCAGCAACGCCGCGUGCGGGAUGACGGCCUUCGGGUUGUAAACCGCUUUCGCCUGUGACGAAGCGUGAGUGACGGUAAUGGGUAAAGAAGCACCGGCUAACUACGU
Molecule: ribosomal RNA, 466 nt
Filed under: uncultured bacterium
Lineage: Bacteria
Description: partial 16S ribosomal RNA
Rfam family: Bacterial small subunit ribosomal RNA
Source: RNAcentral